This 468-nucleotide ribosomal RNA is filed under the name uncultured bacterium. RNAcentral's name for it is "partial 16S ribosomal RNA". It matches the Rfam family "Bacterial small subunit ribosomal RNA", at positions 28 to 507 of the family's 1533-position model. The record is from RNAcentral.
GACGAACGCUGGCGGCGUGCUUAACACAUGCGAGUCGAACGGAAAGGCCCUGCUUUUGUGGGGUGCUCGAGUGGCGAACGGGUGAGUAACACGUGAGUAACCUGCCCUUGACUUUGGGAUAACUUCAGGAAACUGGGGCUAAUACCGGAUAGGAGCUCCUGCUGCAUGGUGGGGGUUGGAAAGUUUCGGCGGUUGGGGAUGGACUCGCGGCUUAUCAGCUUGUUGGUGGGGUAGUGGCUUACCAAGGCUUUGACGGGUAGCCGGCCUGAGAGGGUGACCGGCCACAUUGUGACUGAGAUACGGCCCAGACUCCUACGGGAGGCAGCAGUGGGGAAUAUUGCACAAUGGGCGGAAGCCUGAUGCAGCAACGCCGCGUGCGGGAUGACGGCCUUCGGGUUGUAAACCGCUUUCGCCUGUGACGAAGCGUGAGUGACGGUAAUGGGUAAAGAAGCACCGGCUAACUACGUG